Molecule: ribosomal RNA, 451 nt
Filed under: uncultured Pseudomonadota bacterium
Lineage: Bacteria; Pseudomonadati; Pseudomonadota
Description: bacterial SSU rRNA
Rfam family: Bacterial small subunit ribosomal RNA
Source: RNAcentral
GUGGUGAAUAGCCACGACUACUGACGGUACCGGAAGAAUAAGCACCGGCUAACUACGUGCCAGCAGCCGCGGUAAUACGUAGGGUGCCGAGCGUUUAAUCGGAAUUACUGGGCGUAAAGCGUGCGCAGGCGGUUUUGUAAGCCAGAUGUGAAAUCCCCGGGCUCAACCUGGGAAUGGCAUUUGGGACUGCAAGGCUCGAGUGCGGCAGAGGAGACUGGAAUUCCUGGUGUAGCAGUGAAAUGCGUAGAUAUCAGGAGGAAUACCGAUGGCGAAGGCAGGUCUCUGGGCUGACACUGACGCUCAUGCACGAAAGCGUGGGGAGCAAACAGGAUUAGAUACCCUGGUAGUCCACGCCCUAAAUGAUGUCGACUGGUUGUUGGGGGUUUGACACUACUACAGUAACGAAGCUAACGCGUGAAGUCGACCGCCUGGGGAGUACGGCCGCAAGGUU